This is a long non-coding RNA of Saccostrea cuccullata (small rock oyster), 3638 nucleotides long. RefSeq lists it as uncharacterized. The record is from RefSeq and is a predicted model, not a curated record. Lineage: Eukaryota; Metazoa; Mollusca; Bivalvia; Ostreida; Ostreidae. The transcript is spliced from 3 exons.
AUCUCUGAUUACCUAUGUUUUAGUUUGCAGAAAACACCUUCAUAGAGUUUCCAUCCAAAGGAGAUGCACAAAAAUUGCUUUGUGUCGUGUAUGAAAGCCAUGGGGGUAUUGCCAUAAAUAGGCCUUUUAAGCAUGGUGACACAGUCAAGAGUGUAUACAGCUGGAUAGUUCAAGAAAUAGAUCCUGAAAUUCUACCCCCUGUGUUUCACCUGGAGUGUUAUGCUCCAACAAUGUGCAAGGAUAAAGGCUGCCCCCACAUAUAUGAGUUAGGCAACUCCCAUAAAGUAAAGGUUGAAGAGUUGCCGGAUGUUCUAUACCUUCGUGAAGGGUGUUUUGCUGUAAAUGAUACUUUCACUGGUCUGGGAGAUGUCCUGAUAUGAAUCUACACAUAGACGGUAAUGGAACCAAACUCAGCAGCAGCUUUGGCAGUUUUCUUUGCUUUAUACACUGGUAUCAAGCAAUUCUUUUUUGUGUAAUUAUGAUUCAAAUUAAAGUAUUUGUAAAUGGAGUGUUUUAUCAGGGGCCGAAAUGUGGCAUCUCCAAUUACACCACAUUUAUUUAUUUCAAAUUGUAAUAAUUUUUGUAAUCUAUAGUUUCCUUUUGAUAUUGUAAUUGGAGUGUUUUAUCGUGGGCGGUAAUAGGGCCACUCCUUUCACACUACAUUUAUAUAUUUGUAAUAGUUCUUGUAAUCUAUAGUUUCCUUUUGAUAUUGUAAUUGGAGUGUUUUAUCGGGGGCGGUAAUAGGGCCGCUCCUUUUACACUACAUUUAUAUAUUUGUAAUAGUUCUUGUAAUCUAUAGUUUCUUUUUGAUAUUGUAACUGGAGAGUUUUAUCGGGGGUGGUAAUAGGGCCACUCCUUUUACACCACAUUCAUAUACAUGUAAUUGUAAUACUUUUUGUAAUCUAUAGUUUCUUUUUGAUAUUGUAAUAGGAGUGUUUUAUCAGGGGCAGUAAUUGGGCCAAUCCAAUUACACCACAUUUGUAUAUUUGUAAUACUUUCUGUAAUCUUUAUUCUUUUUCGUAAUUGGAGUGUUUUAUCGGGGGCGGUAAUGGGGCCGCCCCAAAUACACCUCAGUUAUAUAUUUGUAAUACUCUCUGUAAUCUAAGUCUUUUUUGUAAUUGGAGUGUUUUAUUUGGGGGCAGUAAUGGGGCCACUCCAAUUUCCGAACAUGGAAUACUUUUCGUAAUGUUUUGAUUUUUUGAAUAUUAUAAUUGGGAUGUUUUAUCCGGAUAGGAAAGGGGCUACUCCAAGUACACUGCAUAAUAUAUAUAUAUUUUUUUAAAUUGGAAUACUUUUUUGAAAGGAUGAUGUGACAUAACUGCUAUCUGGGGCCCCUUUUUCCACGACGAAUUAUAUUUAAUCUACAACGAUGUUGGUAGUUUUCAAAUAUGAGUGAAUAAAUACGAUGCCUUUUGAAGAGUUUCAAUAGUAUAGACACGUUUUUAUUAUAAGGGAUACUGCAUUAUCUUUGAUUUUUUAGACCCUAUCACAGUUAAAUUCGGCCAGGUUUGUGAGAAUAUUUUCUUUUAUGGCAAGAGAAUGGGCGGGUCUUAGUACAAUAGAGGGAUAUGCGUGUUCGAGAAGACCUUAUAUGGCUAUUGUUAUUAUUUCGCACUUAGUCAUUGUCCAAUCCGAUGACAGAACAACAAAACAUGCUUGUUUAGUACGUUUACAUUUCAUCGCAGACACGUGGUUUAGGUCAAUUUACCUGUUAUCCUUUUUCUACAUUUCAUACUUUUAUAAUGGUCAGCCAAUGCUGUUUACACUGAAUAAUACGCAUGUAUUUUCAGCAUUUAUGGUUUUUAGGACAAGAAAUGCACAUGAAACUUGUAUUCACCGAUACUUGGGAGUACAUGUAGACCUAGCGAAUUGCUCAACAAACACACUACAAAACUUUAAACUAAUGUAUAUCAUGUAUAUUCUAUAAAUUGUUUGUAACUGUAUAUAAAUUUAACUGUGGUCUUGGAAAUGGUACAUAUGUAGAUCCGUGUCUAAUCUGUAACUCAAAUGCAUAAAAAAAUAUCGGAAAGCAGUAAAAUUUCAAGCAUGUUUACAUUCUAAUUUUGUGGUACUCACUCGUAACGAAUUUCAUUUAGCUGAUUGGUCAGUUAGAAAGUAUCGCCUGUGCCUCAAUUAGCAUAUGAAUUCAUUCUUACGUCAGAAUAUCUAGUUCCGUCGAUCUGUUUAUAAUGGGAAAGGGCAAUUAGAAUUUACAAUUUUUUUAAAAAUAGCAUGUGAGCGCAGUUAGGUACAAUUUACUCCUUUCACAUAUAGGUAGAAUACAAUGAAAUACAGUGACCAACCAAAGGAGAAAAUUGUACCUAUCUGCGCUCGUAUAUUUUAAGGGCUUCAAAGAGUGGGCGGGGUUAAAAUGCAAUGGGAAUUGAAUGUAAACAUGAUACCCCUACCCCAAUCUAAGAUCUAUAUCUUUCAAAUCACGUUUCUAUUUUUGUAAAAAAUAGUAUUCUAUGAUGGUACACAUAUCAGUGAUUAGUUACAUACAAAAAUUUGAGUAAAAUUUAGACAUUUAUUUUUUUGUCAAUAUACGAGGGGCCGCAAGUCACCUCAUCCUUUGUAAAAGUCACUUUUAUGCACAUGUAAUAAAAAUUUUGAGGUUAUAUAGUAUUUAUUAUCGUGUCCAUUCAUCUGUCUGUCUGUUUGUACACAUAAACUAAAACCUUGCCCAUAACUUUUGAUUAAUUAGUGAAUCUAUGGCUUUCAAAGUGCUUAUGGGUAUUCCUUAUGAAAAGAACUUUGUUUGGGUACCAGCAAAGUUGAUGAUGACCUUGAAGUUUAAUACACUUUUACACAAAAUUCCAAACUUUUGAUUUGCUCAUAACUUUUUAACAGUAGAUACUAGAACCUUCAUACUUCACAUAUUUUUUCAAAAAUACCUUUCACUUGACAUCAACAACUUUGACCUUCUCUCACAAGUUAAUAAAAAAAAAAAAACAUUCACCUUCAUCCCUGAUGACUAGGGUGGCCACAAUGGGCUAUCAGAGUUUUGCAUUUAAUAUUUAAUAAAAUUCAUUUGUUUAAACAGGUCAUAUUUUGGAAAUGUCAUGAUUGCAUGAAUAUGUAUUUUUAUUAAUAUAUUAGCAAUUUGUGUAUACAUGUGUACAGCAUUAAACAAAUUCAAUCGUUUGUCACAUCUCAUUAUACCCCCCCCCUCCCACAAACAGAGUUGGGGGAGGGGUUUAUAUAGGAAUAACCUUGUCUAUCUGUCUGUUGGUCUAGCUGUCUAUGCAAACGUGUCCAGUCCAUAUCUUUUUUAUGUAUCAACUUGGUAUGUUCUUGUUUUAAUUACAUAAUAUUUCUUAUGUCUUGAGGGUAUUGAUCUACAGUCAUUGUUGUAAACAUGGAUAUAUAAUGCAUCCAUACUUUCCAAUAGUGAUAUAUAUUUUAAAAUUUGGUUGAUUCAUUUUUUUUCACAUUAUUAUAUUUGAUACAAAUUUAAAUAUUGUAAAAGUGUGUACAUAAAAAGUUUAGAUUCAAUUGUUUUUAUUUGUGGGAAAAUUUGUCAUAAAAUGUGUAAAUAAAAUGUUCAAUGAAUUGUUUGUUUAUUUGUGGGAAAAUCUGUAACAUGAAUAUGUUUGAACUGUUAUCAAACCGGUAUUCUAUAUAGCAUGAUCAAGGUA